Molecule: long non-coding RNA, 3261 nt
Organism: Thunnus maccoyii (southern bluefin tuna)
Lineage: Eukaryota; Metazoa; Chordata; Actinopteri; Scombriformes; Scombridae
Exons: 3
Source: RefSeq, a predicted model, not a curated record
GUACAGAUAUCCAUCGUCCCCAGAGGAUGAAUCCUACCAACUCUGGACAUCUCUUGACUUUUCCUCUAGUGCCACCGUGAGAUUGACAGUUUUGGAGACUAUUUGAUUGCCCAAUUAAAAGGCACUUGCUAGUUUUUUCUGUCCUUUCAAUCACAUCCUGCAGUCUUCAUCAGUGUAUGACUCUCUCUCCAUUAAGAUUAUUUGUCAAACUGCUAUUUCCAAGGCCAAGAAUGACUUUCACAAUGUCCUUGGUUAAGGAGAGAUCAAGGUCAUAGUUUAAACGAAACCAAUGUUGAUAGAAAAUAAGUCUCUCCCCAGUAUCCUCAGAUUGCUUCCACUUGUUUUGUCCAACAGUCAAAAAAUUUACAAUCAAAUAAAACAGAGUAAAUCUUCACAUUUGAGAAGCUGUAACCAACAAAUCUUUAUCUUUGGUAUGUUUUAGUAUGUUUGGUUGAUAUUUUAUCUAUGAUCUUGAAUAUGAGUUUCUAUUGUAGAUAAAGCACGGGAGCAAGCUGAUGAAUCAUAUUUGUGAAAAUUUCAAACAUGCAUGGGAAAGUAUUUCAUUUAAACUUGAAGCUACUUGGGUGGAAAUAUAAGAGGAAUUCUGAGAUUAUCAGGGUUCAAGUGAUGACUGUGCUUUAUGUUGCCGUAGCAACAGAGUGACCGAAACUCUCAGAAAAAAAACAAGAAAGAUAAACUUGAGUUGAUGGGAGAGUGCGGGGAGACGGGAGGUGUGUGUGAGUCACUCUUCAAACAACUCAGGUCGGUUCUCUUCGUGCCUUUCAUAACUGAAAUAUGAACUCACACACCUUUGAAGAAGCAACGGCACUGCGAGAGUGGAGAAGACCCAGAGCAGCGCUGUACGUGUGUGUGUGUGUGUGUGUGCACUAGUACUGCAGCAAACUCUGAGGGACGGCUCAUCCUGAUUGGCUGAUGCCAUCGCCUGGGAGCCAAACGAGUGGUGCACCCUCUUCUGACUGACAGGUGUGUGAACGGCAGCCAAUCAGAGCCAAGGUCAGAUGGUGAGAUGGGCAGAUGAGAGUGAUGUGGGAAGGAGGAUUUGUAGUUUGUUCACUGGGUGGGAAACGUGUGUGUGUGUGUGUGUGUGUGUGUGUGUGUGUGUGUGUGUGUGCGUGUGUGUGUGUGGCGAGGUGCUAAGAGUGCUGUCACAACUACCAAAGCAUGCUAAGUGUUUCAGUUUCAUUUUAAGAUCACUGGUAUGUCUGACCUCUCGCACCAAUCCACCUGCCAACUCUCUCUCUCUCUCUCUCACACACACACACACACACACACAAACAACAACUUCAAAGCUAAUUUAAAACAUCUUUAAUAGAGAUUCAAAAGAGGCCGUGAGAGACUAUUCCAGAUCUUUGGAGGCCUCCUGCUCUCUGUGUCCAGCCUGGCUCGGUGGACUGUCAGCGACAACUGGUCAGCAGACCUCGGGCUGUGAACUGGAAUGCAUGGACGAGAAGGUUGUUGUUGUCCGUUAAGAGUCUCCGAGUCAGUCGGGUUCAGGCUGAUGGGUUCAAGAAUGCAGCACUUUAUUACCAGAGACUGAGGUUUCCAUCUUGCAUCCUUUGUGUAGUUAUGGAUUGUGUGGUUUGGAUUAAAUACUGAAAAAGUAAAAGCUUGUGUAACUGUUGAUUUUUUCAGUAUGAAAAACAUGACAUCAAUCUUUCCCUAACUUUAAAGGUGGCCUGUGGAGUUUUCUCCUGAACAAACAGGAAUUACGUCCACAUUCAGUGUUUCUCACAAAACGCACAUUGUGCAAUCUUACAUCUAAACCAAACUUUGCCUUCAGACAUCACACAAAAGCCUUCAAAUACACAAACCAGCCAUCACACACUGGUGAGAUCCAUUCAAAACACUACCAAUAAAAACCUGUUACUGCGAUGAAUAAUGGCGCUUAUGGUUUUCCCCCCAGAACAACCUCUUUACACAUUGAACACAAUAUAAAGACACAACACACGUAUACAUUUUUUUUUAAUUCCUCAAUGUACUGUAGUAAAAUAAACUGAAAAUUAAGUUAUUAUAAUAACUAAGUUCAGGAACAAGCCCACGCCCCGCUCCUUCUCACCAAUUCACAACACCUGCGCCUCGUUAACCCAAAUCACCUGUGCCUCCCGGCCACAUACCUGCACGCAUAUAUAAGCACACCUAGCCUCCACCUCUCCUGUUUGUCUCGGUUCUCUCAAACCCCACCUGCCCCCAAAACCCCAUUCUCCUCUCUCCUCUCAGCGGGUGACACGGUGGCUCAGUGGUUAGCACUGUAGCCUCACAGCAAGAAGGUCCUGGGUUACGAACUCCAGUUUCCUCCGACCAUAAAGACAUGCACGCCAGGGCCUAUACUUCAAUCCCAGUAAUUCUACUCUCUUUCAUCAUAGGAACCACCAAGGGGAUGAUGAAGCUCAUCGAGACGUGCCCCCACCCUGAAUCUCCAUCCCCGGGUUCCUAGACGCUCCAGCCUCAACUCAACUCCAACCGGUCACUAUCCAUCCAGUUCGACUCCUUCAUGACGGCAACCCACAUCCGGCGUCCAUCACCUCCCCUCGACCCCAACAUCCAUCGCCCUUCAUCUUAUUCCUUCCUGAACCAUCUUGCUGAUCAAAUAAACUAUUUAAAGUAUACACAAAUGGCGCGGUCUAAGUUAGUGAAUUGAGUGAAAAAUUAAAUGUAUUGUAAAAAUAUGCAACUGAUACAGAACGUAGAAUACAGUAAAAUAAUUUCCAUGUAUUUACCAAUAAAAACCACAGUUUAUACAUAAAGAAAUAAAUCAUGUUUAUUCUGCCUCAGGUCUUUGUGGAUCCAUUGUUCUAAAACAAGUGAACUGAUCCACGGCCCUGUUAUUUAUCUAUCCCGAGGUUCAGACUGGUGAACAAUUUUGACUCUUAGUGUUUCCACCCGGAGAAUUGUGUGUUAAUUGGGUUCCAGCUGUGAUGACUUGAGUUAAUGAUAUUGAAUGCCAGCGCUUCCUAAACGAGCACGAGUGAAAACAGGAGAACAGUGUUUAUAGUUUUGGGAAAUGAGUCUUUUGGUAAACGGCGUCACAGUUUGGGGAUUUUUAGUUAAAAGGCCCAGUUAUAGUGUGUAAGUGAUCGAGAAAAACUGUAAUAAUGAUGAAUUAAUUGUUUAUAUUCAGGGAUUUUUAAAAAAGUUUUUCUCAUGAGUUGACACGUAGACACUAAAUCCAUAAUAAUGCAAAGUCCAGAUCCCGAAUUUUCUGAGUCAAGAGAUAUGCUGAUGAGGUGUAUUCUGGCAUAA